CAGCCGUAAACUAUGCGCGUUAGGUGUACUGGUGACCACGAGUCACCGGGGUGCCGAAGGGAAACCGUGAAACGUGCCGCCUGGGAAGUACGGUCGCAAGGCUGAAACUUAAAGGAAUUGGCGGGGAGCACCACAACGGGUGGAGCCUGCGGUUUAAUUGGACUCAACGCCGGGAAGCUCACCGGAUAGGACAGCAGAAUGAUUGCCGGGCUGAAGACCCUGCAUGACUAGCUGAGAGGUGGUGCAUGGCGUCAGUGACU
This 260-nucleotide ribosomal RNA is filed under the name uncultured archaeon. RNAcentral describes it as "partial 16S ribosomal RNA". It matches the Rfam family "Archaeal small subunit ribosomal RNA", at positions 748 to 1008 of the family's 1478-position model. The record is from RNAcentral.